GACGAACGCUGGCGGCGUGCUUAACACAUGCAAGUCGAGCGAUGAAGCACCUUCGGGUGUGGAUUAGCGGCGAACGGGUGAGGAACACGUGAAGAAUCUGCCUUCAACUCUGGGAUAACUCCGGGAAACCGGGGCUAAUACCGGAUAUGAGCCUUGGCCGCAUGGCCGGGGCUGGAAAGUUUUUCGGUUGGAGAUGACUUCGCGGCCUAUCAGCUUGUUGGUGAGGUAAUGGCUCACCAAGGCGACGACGGGUAGCCGGACUGAGAGGGCGACCGGCCACACUGGGACCGAGACACGGCCCAUACUAAUACGGACGGCAGCAGUGGGGAAUAUUGGGCAAUGGAGGAAACUCUCACCCAGCGAAGCCGAGUGAGGGAUGAAGGCCUUCGGGUUGUAAACCUCUUUCAGUAGGGAAGAAGCGAAAGUGACGGUACCUACAGAAGAAGCACCGGCUAACUAUGUGCCAGCCGCCGCCGUAA
This 479-nucleotide ribosomal RNA is filed under the name uncultured bacterium. RNAcentral describes it as "partial 16S ribosomal RNA". It matches the Rfam family "Bacterial small subunit ribosomal RNA", at positions 28 to 523 of the family's 1533-position model. The record is from RNAcentral.